This 250-nucleotide ribosomal RNA is filed under the name uncultured prokaryote. RNAcentral describes it as "partial 16S ribosomal RNA". It matches the Rfam family "Bacterial small subunit ribosomal RNA", at positions 524 to 774 of the family's 1533-position model. The record is from RNAcentral.
UACGUAGGUGGCAAGCGUUAUCCGGAUUUAUUGGGCGUAAAGGGUGCGUAGGCGGUCAGUUAAGUUUGGAGUAAAAGCGUUGGGCUUAACCCAAUCGAGCUCUGAAUACUGGCUGACUGGAGUGCAGAAGAGGGUAAUGGAAUUCCAUGUGUAGCGGUAAAAUGCGUAGAUAUAUGGAGGAACACCAGCGGCGAAGGCGGUUACCUGGUCUGUAACUGACGCUGAGGCACGAAAGCGUGGGGAGCAAAUA